CAAGUCGAACGAAUCCCGGGGUAGCAAUACCUCGGGGGAAGUGGCGAAAGGGGCAGUAAUACAUGGAUAACCUACCCUGGGGAUGGGCAUAGCCGUUCUAACGAGCGGGUAAUACCCAGCGAUUCGGCUGGUUGGCAUCAAUCGGCCGGGAAAUGAAUUUCGCCUCGGGAGGGGUCCAUGCGAUAUCAGCUAGUUGGUGGGGUAACGGCCCACCAAGGCUUAGACGUCUAGCGGGUGUGAGAGCACGACCCGCGCCACUGGCACUGAGACACUGGCCAGACACCUACGGGUGGCUGCAGUCGAGGAUCUUCGUCAAUGGGCGCAAGCCUGAACGAGCGAUGCCGCGUGAGCGAUGAAGGCCUUCGGGUUGUAAAGCUCAAAAGGGGUGAGAAAGGGAAACUUGAUCGAACCCCAGUAAGCUCGGGCUAAGUUCGUGCCAGCAGCCGCGGUAAGACGAACCGAGCGAACGUUGUUCGGAAUCACUGGGCUUAAAGGGCGCGUAGGCGGGUGCUCAAGUCUGUGGUGAAAUCCUCCGGCUCAACCGGAGAACUGCCAUGGAUACUGGGUGCCUCGAGGGUGGUAGGGGUAUGCGGAACUAUCGGUGGAGCGGUGAAAUGCGUUGAUAUCGAUAGGAACUCCGGUGGCGAAGGCGGCAUACUGGACCACUUCUGACGCUGAGGCGCGAAAGCCAGGGGAGCGAACGGGAUUAGAUACCCCGGUAGUCCUGGCCCUAAACGAUGGGAACUAGCUAGUAGGGUUCACAUGGCUUUACUGGCGAAGCAAAAGUGCUAAGUUCCCCGCCUGGGGAGUAUGGUCGCAAGGCUGAAACUCAAAGGAAUUGACGGGGGCUCACACAAGCGGUGGAGCAUGUGGCUUAAUUC
Molecule: ribosomal RNA, 881 nt
Filed under: uncultured Planctomycetota bacterium
Lineage: Bacteria; Pseudomonadati; Planctomycetota
Description: bacterial SSU rRNA
Rfam family: Bacterial small subunit ribosomal RNA
Source: RNAcentral